This 539-nucleotide long non-coding RNA is filed under the name Physcomitrium patens. RNAcentral describes it as "long non-coding RNA (PPAT_LNC004053)". Lineage: Eukaryota; Viridiplantae; Streptophyta; Bryopsida; Funariales; Funariaceae. The record is from RNAcentral.
CAGUGGCAAUUUCGUGGGUAUCAAGAUAUAAUUCGGUGACUCGAUUGCGGCCCAGAAAUAGCAGGGGAUGGUCAGAAUUAGCGACUGUGGCCACCAAUAGAAUGCCAUCCGAUGAACAGAAAAUUCGUUGGAUUCUUUCGUGUCGAUUUCUACACCUUGCAUACUCGGCUAUGAUGCGUAAAUUUAAUAACUGAAAUCGCCGCGCAAUGCCUUCUGCGCUAAUAAAUUUGAGGAACAGCGUGGGGGAGCUUUACAGGGUCAAAAAUCGUAGGCUGGUCGCUUGAAAAUCCAAAAGAGGCACCCUAGUUCAGCUUUUCUAAACGCAGCGUUGGCUUUUUUGGCUCUGGGCUUUCGAACAAGUGGAAAGAAAAAAAAUGAGUCGCAGCUCGUCUAAAAACUGAGUUGCAGCACCAGUCGAUCAGUUUGCUCGGAAGCCCACCUCCGAAAAUGGGCGUAUCUCUUUCCUCUGUAAAUAACAAACUUCUUAAUGACUUGCGCGGGUCACUUUGUUAAAUCUCUUCCCUCGCAUCAUAGCGACG